This 91-nucleotide unclassified non-coding RNA is filed under the name Lysinibacillus fusiformis. Lineage: Bacteria; Bacillati; Bacillota; Bacilli; Caryophanales; Bacillaceae. The record is from RNAcentral.
GCACGCCGUAUGCGAUGAAAGUCGCCUGUACGGUGUAGGCCCAAACCGAAAGCCCAGAUAGAAAGAUGUGGUAUAAGGUGGGAAUGGCAAU